UAAGCACUCUAUGCAGCUCCCUCAACAGCGAUCUGCUUGUGUAGUUCCUUUGGGGAAUUAAAAGAAGUGCGUCUUGUCCUCAAUGUUGUUUUAUUUGAUUCUGUGACUUAUGCUGUUGAUAAUAGCUGCACUGACGUUUGCAAGGCUUUGUACAUCCUACACACUUGCUCUAUGCAUUCAUUGGUCUAAUCUGCUUACUGGAAUGUUUCUUUUUUUUUUUCCAUUAUUCUUUAUUUUUCUGUGUACAGCAAUGCCUGUGUACAUGGCAGAUAAUCUUAUGGAGCUUUAGCCCAUCUAAUUGGAGCUGUAUGGUUGCAUGGGCUCUCUAAUAUAUCCCAAUGUUUGGAGUUGGAGAAAGGGAGUGCAGACUGCAUGACAUCCUACCUAGGUGUGUAGAGAGAGGGCAGUGGGUUGCUUUAAGAUCUGUUUUAGAGAAACAGUCUGAAGUUGACUAGUAGCUCAGAAUUAUUCAAAUGACCUGUUUUGCCCCAUCAUAUUUCUCAUUUCUCAUGGCACUAUGGCAUGAACGUGGGUGGUGACUUCAAACAUUCCAGAAUGUCCUAGAACCAGGUCCAUGUUCAUUUUUCUCCUCUGCAAAUGCGAUUUUGAUAUUUCUGAUGUUGGAACAGAUGUGACACAUCUGUAUAAAUUUGACUGAAACAAGUUAUGAAUGCCCCAAUGUUACAGGGAACUACUUGCUGUUUGACAUACUGCUUCAGGAUUCAUCAAAUGCUUUCAGCAUGUUGGCUUUCUCUGGCCCUCUCAGUCAGGCUUCAGUGUUGACUGUUGAGAAGCAGGGCUUCUAAAAGAAUGGGCCUGUCGGAUAAUAGAUGGAGUUGAGAUAUAUGAAUAUAUAUAUACACAUAUAUUUUUUAAUUUGAGUGAUGGUCAGAUUGGGUUAUGAAGAGUUUUGUUUUCUUGUUGUUUUUUUUUCUUGCUGUAUUUCUGUAUGUAUAAAAGCUCAGAGGUUCCUCAAAACUCAGCAAUUUCUCUAUCAAAGCCACAGGGUGUCUGUGUUUUUAUUCUACUUUAUACUUUCAGAUGUCUGUAAAAAUACUGUUAAAAAAAACAAACAAAACAAAAAAAACCAACAGUGUCAGAGGAAUGUGUAUGUGAGGGUUUAACCAAUAGUGUAUAAAAUUAUGGAUCUAAAGCACUUAAUUUUUUUAAGAGAUGCCUCCUAAAUUGAAGCUCUUGGUGCUGUGAGUCCAAACCAUGCAGCUGUUGAACCCUUCUUGACUCUUGGUAUGUCUCCGUCUCCGAAGUCUCUAGACUUUUCCCCUCUCUCAUCUUUCCCUCCCUCUUCAUCGGUCAUCUCCUUCUUUUUUUUGUUGGACACUCUGUCCUAUUUGGUUGUUGAGAAGCUGUUAUAUUUUGUUCUCAUUUAAAAAAACAAACAAACAAAAAAAACUGGGGAAAAGAGGCAUGUGCCUUUGUAAAGACAGAAUAAUAAAGUUUGUACUACGUUUUU
This is a long non-coding RNA of Ictalurus punctatus (channel catfish), 1471 nucleotides long. Lineage: Eukaryota; Metazoa; Chordata; Actinopteri; Siluriformes; Ictaluridae. The record is from Ensembl.